RNAcentral lists this ribosomal RNA (253 nucleotides) under uncultured bacterium. RNAcentral describes it as "partial 16S ribosomal RNA". It matches the Rfam family "Bacterial small subunit ribosomal RNA", at positions 524 to 776 of the family's 1533-position model. The record is from RNAcentral.
UACAGAAGCCUCGAGCGUUGUUCGGAAUUACUGGGCGUAAAGGGAAUGUAGGUGGUGACGUAAGUCAGAUGUGAAAGCCCCGGGCUUAACCCGGGAAGUGCAUUUGAUACUGCGUUGCUAGAGUGUGGAAGAGGAGAGCGGAAUUCCAGGUGUAGGGGUGAAAUCCGUAGAUAUCUGGAGGAAUACCGAUGGCGAAGGCAGCUCUCUGGUCCGUAACUGACACUGAGAUUCGAAAGCGUGGGUAGCAAACAGG